Long non-coding RNA from Malurus melanocephalus (red-backed fairy wren), 759 nucleotides. RefSeq lists it as uncharacterized. The transcript is spliced from 3 exons. NCBI's taxonomy places the organism in Eukaryota, Metazoa, Chordata, Aves, Passeriformes, Maluridae. The record is from RefSeq and is a predicted model, not a curated record.
GCUGUGGGAGCUCAAGUAGCUUGUAAGAGGAGACCRUCCUCCUCUGAAGCAUGCUUGAAAGAAUCAGACACACUCUGCUCUCAAAGCAUCACUUUCCUCCUUGUUUCUUGGCUCAGUGAUAACAGCAGAUAAAGGCAAUCCUGUCAGCCUUAACCCGUUACUUGGGCCACCACGGGAUGGAGGUMAAGAAUCCCCUUUGCAGGAACUUGGAUUGGGUACACAGGGAUGACAAAAAAAAAAUCUGAUUUUAUAAACUUAAAAUGCGAUGUUGGACUACUGAACUGAAGCAUGCUCAGCUCCCCAGUGGAUGCUUAUCUUGACAGAACCACAAAAGCAGGGGGACAGCUCCAACGCACAAGAACAUACAAGAUUCAAGUGUGACAAAGAGCCUUGAAGCACAAAGGCCAUUAUGAAAGYUACAUGAUCAGGCAGAUGGAAAAACAAGCACAUGGCACUCAACAUUGUAUUUUUGGUGCAGCUAAAUUUUACCUGGAGCAGAAACGAGGCUAUAUGAAAUGUUUCCCCACUGCCAGCAUGAAACUUAGCCCGGAAACUCAGAAUAGCUUCAGCUGCAGCCAUAUCCCAUAGGAGGAGGAAACCUUUGCAAAAGGAUGUGCUUUCAGUGACAUUGCUAUUUCAAGGAAUUUUGCACAUGAUCUUCACAAAAAAAUAAUUUAGGAUGAGAUUGCAGACUGUCAAAUGUAUGUAAAACAUGCUUUGACAGAGGAAUAAAAAAAUUGAGUCAAUAAAAGGAAGAAA